This 390-nucleotide ribosomal RNA is filed under the name uncultured bacterium. Its description in RNAcentral is "bacterial SSU rRNA". It matches the Rfam family "Bacterial small subunit ribosomal RNA", at positions 28 to 420 of the family's 1533-position model. The record is from RNAcentral.
GACGAACGCUGGCGGCGUGCUUAGCACAUGCAAGUCGAGCGGUAAGGCCCUUUCGGGGGUACACGAGCGGCGAACGGGUGAGUAACACGUGGGUGACCUGCCCUCAGCUCUGGGAUAAGCCUGGGAAACCGGGUCUAAUACCGGAUAUGACUCCAUGACGCAUGUUGUGGGGUGGAAAGCCUUGUGCGGCUGAGGAUGGGCCCGCGGCCUAUCAGCUUGUUGGUGGGGUGANGGCCACCAAGGCGACGACGGGUAGCCGGCCUGAGAGGGCGACCGGCCACACUGGGACUGAGACACGGCCCAGACUCCUACGGGAGGCAGCAGUGGGGAAUCUUGCGCAAUGGGCGAAAGCCUGACGCAGCGACGCCGCGUGAGGGAUGACGGCCUCGG